ACCUAUAAGACUGGGAUAACUUCGGGAAACCGGAGCUAAUACCGGAUAAUAUUUUGAACCGCAUGGUUCAAAAGUGAAAGACGGUCUUGCUGUCACUUAUAGAUGGAUCCGCGCUGCAUUAGCUAGUUGGUAAGGUAACGGCUUACCAAGGCAACGAUGCAUAGCCGACCUGAGAGGGUGAUCGGCCACACUGGAACUGAGACACGGUCCAGACUCCUACGGGAGGCAGCAGUAGGGAAUCUUCCGCAAUGGGCGAAAGCCUGACGGAGCAACGCCGCGUGAGUGAUGAAGGUCUUCGGAUCGUAAAACUCUGUUAUUAGGGAAGAACAUAUGUGUAAGUAACUGUGCACAUCUUGACGGUACCUAAUCAGAAAGCCACGGCUAACUACGUGCCAGCAGCCGCGGUAAUACGUAGGUGGCAAGCGUUAUCCGGAAUUAUUGGGCGUAAAGCGCGCGUAGGCGGUUUUUUAAGUCUGAUGUGAAAGCCCACGGCUCAACCGUGGAGGGUCAUUGGAAACUGGAAUACUUGAGUGCUGAAGAGGAAAGUGGAAUU
Molecule: ribosomal RNA, 553 nt
Filed under: uncultured Staphylococcus sp.
Lineage: Bacteria; Bacillati; Bacillota; Bacilli; Caryophanales; Staphylococcaceae
Description: bacterial SSU rRNA
Rfam family: Bacterial small subunit ribosomal RNA
Source: RNAcentral